AUUGAACGCUGGCGGCAUGCUUUACACAUGCAAGUCGAACGGCAGCGCGGGCUUCGGCCUGGCGGCGAGUGGCGAACGGGUGAGUAAUACAUCGGAACGUGCCCAGUAGUGGGGGAUAGCUCGGCGAAAGCCGGAUUAAUACCGCAUACGACCUGAUGGUGAAAGCGGGGGAUCUUCGGACCUCGCGCUAUUGGAGCGGCCGAUGGCAGAUUAGCUAGUUGGUGGGGUAAAGGCCUACCAAGGCGACGAUCUGUAGCUGGUCUGAGAGGACGACCAGCCACACUGGAACUGAGACACGGCCCAGACUCCUACGGGAGGCAGCAGUGGGGAAUUUUGGACAAUGGGCGAAAGCCUGAUCCAGCAAUGCCGCGUGUGUGAUGAAGGCCUUCGGGUUGUAAAGCACUUUUGGCGGGAACGAAAAGGACUGUGCCAAUACCACGGUUCGAUGACGGUACCCGCAGAAUAAGCACCGGCUAACUACGUG
This 484-nucleotide ribosomal RNA is filed under the name uncultured bacterium. Its description in RNAcentral is "partial 16S ribosomal RNA". It matches the Rfam family "Bacterial small subunit ribosomal RNA", at positions 30 to 507 of the family's 1533-position model. The record is from RNAcentral.